Molecule: long non-coding RNA, 1031 nt
Filed under: Sus scrofa (pig)
Lineage: Eukaryota; Metazoa; Chordata; Mammalia; Artiodactyla; Suidae
Description: lncRNA (ENSSSCG00025056133.1)
Source: RNAcentral
ACUAUUUUAGCAGCUCUUUGACCUUUUUAAAAGCUUGUGUCUGUAAAAUGUGAACCAAAUAUUUGGCUUUAUAGUAAAGAGAGAAAUAGUAAGAAUGUUAAGUAAUUUUAGUCAGUACGAUGGUAUGUAAAUGAAACGUGGAGGAUGGUGGCAAUAAGUUGAUUUUUCCAUAUACCAAAACCACAGGCCCACCACCUAACAAAGCUCUGUUUCUGUUACACAUCAGCAUCUGAGGGUAGAAGAGGAGGAGGGACUGGGACAAAGCUGCACUGAUCCUACCCGUCCAGGGAUGAUAUCAGCUCAUCUGCAUAGCCAUCUGAAAGUUUAGUACAUGCUGUCUCAUCAGAAAAGAACACUCUGUGACAUUUAUGAGUUCCAAUGCAAAAGUUAAGCAUUGAACAGAUUUUCCUUAACAUUUGAUUAAAACAGUGUUAAACUUUACUUCACUAAUCUAUUGGAAACAGACAUUUGUCAUCUUCAGCUAUAUUUUCCAUCUGCGUAAGUUACAUUCUUGUAGUACAGCUGACAUCUAAGUAAAUCUCACCGGCCAAACUCAUCACAUCUUUUUUAUUAAAAAUAUGUCCCCUUGGAGUUCCCGUUGUGGCGCAGCAGAAAAAAGAAAACUCAUAUUUCCAAAACAUGCCCUUUAGAGGUUGCAUUGGCUGAGCGGUGGGGGAUGGUUUUAAGCGCUUGUAUAGGCAAUUAUAACAUAUACUUUGCUUCUGCUGUCUCCAGAGGAAAAUCCUGAAAUGACACACAAAAUAAUUUUUUUCAGAUAUAAGAGGUUCAGAAUUGUGAAGAGCUGCUAUCCUAAAAAGAAUUCAUAGAGCCAAAUCUUAGUGAUCUGGGCCCUCUUCUCUAAAGGUAUGAACAGCUCUUACAUUAGUGUUUAAUACCUGGAACACACAUGUGAUGGUCAAUAUUCACUUAACAGUCUUCUAGACUUAAAGAAUAAGCCUAAACUUGUUCCAUUUAACUGAAGCUAAAAGGCUUUGGAAUCAGAAAAAAAAAAAUUUUUUUUUAAGUGUUCC